AACGAACGCUGGCGGCAGGCCUAACACAUGCAAGUCGAGCGAGGACUUCGGUCCUAGCGGCGGACGGGUGAGUAACGCGUGGGAACGUGCCCUUUGGUUCGGAAUAGCCCCGGGAAACUGGGAGUAAUACCGGAUGAGCUCUUCGGAGGAAAGAUUUAUCGCCAAAGGAUCGGCCCGCGUUGGAUUAGGUAGUUGGUGGGGUAAUGGCCUACCAAGCCGACGAUCCAUAGCUGGUUUGAGAGGAUGAUCAGCCACACUGGGACUGAGACACGGCCCAGACUCCUACGGGAGGCAGCAGUGGGGAAUCUUAGACAAUGGGGGAAACCCUGAUCUAGCCAUGCCGCGUGAUCGAUGAAGGCCUUAGGGUUGUAAAGAUCUUUCAGGUGGGAAGAUAAUGACUGUACCACCAGAAGAAGCCCCGGCUAACUCCGUG
This 433-nucleotide ribosomal RNA is filed under the name uncultured organism. Its description in RNAcentral is "bacterial SSU rRNA". It matches the Rfam family "Bacterial small subunit ribosomal RNA", at positions 29 to 507 of the family's 1533-position model. The record is from RNAcentral.